AAAGUUUCACGACCGUUCCGGCGGUUCCUCUAUCGUUCCACAGAUGUACCCCAACUGGAGGUGCUCGCGACCCAGGACAGGCUGGAGGCAAGAUACCCGCGUGGCUUCAGAGGCUCCAGCUUUUUCUGUGAAACACACAAGAGAGAAACGGAAGCUCAAGAAUAAAUAAACAAAGCAGCAUUUUUGACAAGCGGGUAAAACAAGCACAGUCGUCGUUCUCCUUAAGGAAGGCUAAUACAGGCGGCUUAUGACAUCAGCCAAGCCUGCAAAUACCAGUUGGCCCCAGCCUGGGCUCUUGUCUGCUCUGGCCACCUGGUUGGCCUGGGCGAGUCUGUGGCCCGGGCUGAGGUGUGAGGAGUGGGGGGGCGGUCUAUCUAUAGAGGACACAUGAAAAAAAAAGUUAUUUAGGGGUGCCUGGCUGGUUCAGUGGGAAGAGCCUCCAGAACAUCAUCAUGGAGUUGUGAACUCCAACCACAUGUUGGAUGUAGAGGACUCAAAGUAAAAUCUAAAAAACAAACAAACAACCUAAUAGCUUUGCCUUUUCUUUCACUUAUGAAUAGAACAUACUAUUGAAAAUUCUCGUGUUACUUAGCGUGGGUUUUGAAUGCAAUUCAACUUUGUCGUCUAAAUGUUGCUAAAGGAGGAAGCACUCUUUCUUAACAGCUUCAUUUAAUGUUUGCACGUGGGAAACACCUGGAAUACCAUCACUGCUAUCAAGGUCAUAAACAUAUCCAUCACCUCCAAAA
Mustela lutreola (European mink) is the source of this 746-nucleotide long non-coding RNA. RefSeq lists it as uncharacterized. Lineage: Eukaryota; Metazoa; Chordata; Mammalia; Carnivora; Mustelidae. The record is from RefSeq and is a predicted model, not a curated record. The transcript has 2 exons.